Long non-coding RNA from Mercenaria mercenaria, 7704 nucleotides. RefSeq lists it as uncharacterized. The record is from RefSeq and is a predicted model, not a curated record. Lineage: Eukaryota; Metazoa; Mollusca; Bivalvia; Venerida; Veneridae. The transcript has 13 exons.
AUAAACAAUCGACGCAUGCGCAGAAAUGGAAUGUUCGAAAUUUGGAAAGGAAAAUUUGUAUAGGAGAACAAAUUAGCGAAAAUAAGUCAUUCCACGUGAUGACAGUCACUAUCAGCGGUCUAAAUCAAAAGGGAAUAAUGAAAACUUACUUCAGUGCCAUGUGUGAAGUGACAGUAAAGCAGAAUAGCUACAGACCAUGAAUUGAGAAAUGAAGAUAUGCAGAUGUAAAUGUAUAACAUGGUGUAUGUGGGAAACAUAGCGGACAGGAGGCAAGUAAGAUAAUGUGAAGUAACAGUAAUGCAGACUGACUAGAGACCAUUAACUUCAGAACUGAAGAGGUGCAGGUCUUUAUAUGGCGAAUGAUGGAACCAUGGUGGAGUUUUGGAUUUAUAAGGUGUGAAGUUACAGGAAAGCAGAAUAACUACAAACCAUGAUAUUUAGAAAUGAAGAGAUGCAUGUCUUUGUUCAGUAAGGUGUAUAUGGGAAACAUUGUGGAUGGCAGACAUGAAAUGAUUUAUGCGAAGUAAUAGAAAAGCAGAAUGGCUACAGACUUUCAAUUCAGAAUUGAAGAGAUGCAGGUCUUUGUUCUAUAUGGUGUAUGAGGGAACCAUGGCGAAAAUUUGGAUUUCAUGAUAGUUAUAGAAAUAUCUAAUAAGUCUAUAGGACAGUGACGUGUGUACCAGUUUGUCAGGCUAUCACAUGUCUGUGCAGGUGACAAAUUCGCUAUGGACGCGUAGGUUCUCAAAUGAUUUGGCCGAACUUUUCACAGUCAUAAAGACAGAUAUGAAAAGGUUUUAGGUCUAUAGGACAGUUAUGUGACAGUGUGUAUAAUUCUGUAAGGCUAUCACAUGUUUGUCCAGUCAACAAAAUUGCAGUGGGUGCAUAGAAUCUCAAAUAACAGGGGAGAACUUUUCACAGUCUCAAAGACAGACAUCAAAAGAUUACAGGAAAGAGAAAAAGGAAAAUGACCUCAGGAAGUUCCUAAGGACAAGAAUGUCUGUGAUUCAUGGAAACUUCAGAGUUCAGCAGCUUCUUGAAACAGUCCAUAGACAGAUAGUAGGAGGACUUUGGUUGAGUGUUGAGGGAGGUUCUGAGCACAAGCCUCUGGCACAAGCCAUGCUAUCUAGAUAUAUUUCCGGCCAGGCAGCUGCGAAAACCAGACAACUCUUUAUAUCAGAGAAUCUGUACAAAAGUUGAAUGAUGUAAACUUAGAGACCUACACAAAUGAUCAGGUGACGGAAGCAUUGAAAACAGCGGGAGGUGUCGUUACAUUGACUAUCCAGUAUUUCAAAGCAGCUGGUUUGUUCCUUAACAAAUCUUCCGACCAUUGUAAGUAUACUGCUUUAAACUUGAAAUUGUUAUUUAUAAAAGCUUCACUAGAAGAAACAAUCUCCAUAACUCUUGUUUUGAAUUUUGACAGAGUAAUAGUCCUUUAUAACUUAGAAUUAUUUUGUUAGAGUUUUAAUAUAAUGACCAAUAUCUGUUACUGUCAAAACUUAAAUUUAGAAUAUUUAUUUACUAUCAAAGUCUACAUCAGAAGAAAGAAUCAUCAUAACUCUGAUUAUAUAUUUGAGUUAAGCACUUUUUACUGGCAAAGCUCUUAUUCAGAGUCAAGCACUGAGAAAAGUCCAAUGUGCUGUAUUACGGACAGUUCUGUUACAUGUGAUGUGAUAGUUAAUUCAGGAAAAAAAUUGCACACUCUUCAGUUUUAUUUUUAGAAUAUUUUGUAAUACUAUAUUUUUGUUAUGCCCCCAAAGGGAGGCAUAUUAGUUAUCAACUGUCGGUCCGUUCAUUAGUUUGUUCCUUCGUUCGUCACAACGUUAACUUUUUGCAUGAAGGCACUUUACUCGCGAACCACUGCACCCAGGACCUUCAAACUUCACAUGCUGAUAGUGCUUAUUAAGUACAUGACCCCUACUGACUUUAGGGUCACCAGGUUAAAGUUCAAGGUCACAAGGGCCAAUGUUAACUUUUUGCAUGAAGGCACUUCACUCACGAACCACUGCACCCAGGACCUUCAAACUUCACUUGAUGAUAGUACUUAUGGAGUACACAACCUCUAUUGACUUUGGGGUCACCAGGUCAAAAGUCAAGGUCACCAGGUCGAAGGUCAAGGUGCUGCGGGGAAAUUUGUUACCAUUAGUGACAGCUCUUGUUAUGUUUUACUUUUCAGCAUCCUUAAAUGCAAAUGAAAGAAUGACUUCACCUCCUGGCGUGAUUUUACCAAGACUUGAGACAGUGUGUUGUCUACUCAUCAAUACCACUGUUAUAUGCAUACAUUACACGAUAUGUCGAUCAGACAGAUCAACUCAAUUGAGCUUGUGGGAGUUAAUGGGAAGUGUGUUACAUUUUGAUGAUAGCCACUCACUGGCAGAAUGGGUCGCAACAAUCACCAAUAAUAUCCUUAGUCUUCUCAAUCAGAUGAUUCAGUAUAUGUGUUGGACAUAAGAGAGGGGGAGUCCUUGCAACAGCACAGAUGGUUGGAGACCCAAGUUCGUUGCCACGAAAGGUCAAGAUACAGACUUGUUUGAUGUACCUCCUGUAAGUUUAUACAGUUGAACCUUGUUUUCUCAAACUGGGAAAAAUUCAGUCACUAUCAUUCACCUGAACUUAUUGCCAGGUUCUUGCAAAUUACCUAUAUAUUGUAUAUUGUUCCAGUGCUCGGAAUUAACUUGAACUAGAACUAAUUCUGCUUGUCCCGUCAAGUCGGGGCAAGACAUUAGUUUUUCAUCAAAUUCAAGAUAAUAUAUACUUGUUAAUUAUGCCCUGUUUAAGAAUAGUUUCAAAUUUUAAACAUCAUGGUUGUUUUUUUUCCCCUUUAAAUAAAAAACAAUGUAUCUGAGUUUAAGUGUAAAAACUGUUCUCAUAUGCAAAAAUAUCAAGACGAUAUUUAUUCAAAAAGUUUAUUAUUAUGAUAUACCUGUAUAAAUUCUGUCAAACAUCCAGCUUGUGUUUUGCAAUUAAAUAAGAACAGGCAGAAAAAAAAACUUAUUGUACCUUUUGUAUUUCAUGUUGCCAGACUAUCAUUUAUUAUGUAUGACCUGCAACAUUUCUGUAGAUAGUGCAUACACAGUUCUAUUUUAACAUUAUGGAUAAACUGUUAAAACACUGAAGAUUUAGUUCGAUAACAAGACAACAAACAGGACUUUAAACCCAACAAAAUAAAAUAAAAGAAAGGUGGAGGUUCGUAUAUAAUAAAAGCUUCAUUAUAACAAUAGCUAGAUCUGGCAUUUGUAUUCUACUCUCGUGGAUUUUGCUAGGUCAGAAAACACUCGACGCUUGCACGUGCCUUGUUUCAUAUUCAACCUUGCUUUUAAAUUCACUUAUGCCAAAUACUCUAUCCCAGAUCAAGCUACUAUUUUAAUAACCCUGUUAUAUAAAUUGUUGGUCCAUAGUUUGUGCUGUUGGCCAGUCUAUAUAUAGUUCAACAAUAAAGUUUGCUUGGCUAAAGUCAAAAUUAGUUGUAUAAUACUAGUAUCAGUGGUUCAUAAUCACACACAUUUUAACUGACAAAUAAGUCAAGCAUUUAAAAAUGGAAGUGUGACAAUUUCUUGUUGUAUUAGGCGUAAAAAAAAAUUGUUUGUUUCCGGUAUCCCUACCUACCCAAAAUUUUUGGCCCGACCCAAAAUGUUUUUAUGGCCUUGGAAAAUAAUUUUUUCAACUUUUUGACAAAAAGUUGCCAAACUGCACUUUUUAUGCUUUAAACAUGGUCAUUGAUGUUAAAAAUCAACUUCCUGAUGCUCUAAAGGCAUAACCCCCUUAUUUAUAUAAAUUUUUUGACAUAAAAAUAAUUUCCGAAAAGUCUCCCUUAAUAAAAAAAAAAUUCAAAAAAAAAAAAAAAAAAAUUCCGACCUACCUACCCAAAUUUUUUUGAGCAUGUUACCGGAAACAAAGAAUUUUUUUAGGCCUUAUAGAACACUUUAUGAAUGGCUUGCCAAUCUGUAGUCAAAAUUAUUGACCUUUUGACCUCAGACUAUUGACUAUUAAGUAAUUCAGUAGGUAUGUACUAUUGACCUUUUCACCUCAGACAAUAGUUUUAACUGUUGACUAGCAAGUAAUUCAGUAGGUAUGUACUAUUGACCUUUGGACCUCAGACAAUAGUUUUGACUAUUGACUAGCAAGUAAUUCAGUAGGUAUGUACUAUUGACCUUUGGUCCUCAGACAAUAGUAUUGACUAGCAAGUAAUUCAGUAGAUAUGUACUAUUGACCUUUUGACCUCAGAUAAUAGUUUUGACUAUUGACUAGCAAAUAAUUCAGUAGGUAGGUACUAUUGACAUUUUGACCUCAGACAAUAGUUUUGACUGUUGACUAGCAAGUAAUUCAGUAGGUAUGUACUAUUGACCUUUGGACCUCAGACAAUAGUUUUGACUAUUGACUAGGAAGUUAUUCUGUAGGUAUGUACUAUUGACCUUUUCACCUCAGACAAUAGUAUUGACUAGCAAGUAAUUCAGUAGGUAUGUACUAUUGACCUUUGGACCUCAGACAAUAGUUUUGACUAUUGACUAGCAAGUAAUUCAGUAGGUAUGUACUAUUGACCUUUGGAUCUCAGACAUUAGUUUUGACUAUUGACUAGCAAGUAAUUCAGUAGGUAUGUACUGUUGACCUUUGGACCUCAGACAAUAGUUUUGACUAUUGACUAGCAAGUAAUUCUGUAGGUAUGUACUAUUGACCUUUUGACCUCAGACAAUAGUUUUGACUAUUGACUAGCAAGUAAUUCAGUAGGUAUGUGCUAUUGACCUUUGGACCUCAGACAAUAGUUUUGACUAUUGACUAGGAAGUUAUUCUGUAGGUAUGUACUAUUGACCUUUUCACCUCAGACAAUAGUAUUGACUAGCAAGUAAUUCAGUAGGUAUGUACUAUUGACCUUUGGACCUCAGACAAUAGUUUUGACUAUUGACUAGCAAGUAAUUCAGUAGGUAUGUACUAUUGACCUUUGGAUCUCAGACAUUAGUUUUGACUAUUGACUAGCAAGUAAUUCAGUAGGUAUGUACUGUUGACCUUUGGACCUCAGACAAUAGUUUUGACUAUUGACUAGCAAGUAAUUCUGUAGGUAUGUACUAUUGACCUUUUGACCUCAGACAAUAGUUUUGACUAUUGACUAGCAAGUAAUUCAGUAGGUAUGUACUAUUGACCUUUGGUCCUCAGACAAUAGUUUUGACUAUUGACUAGCAAGUAACUCAGUAAGUAUGUACUAUUGACCUUUGGACCUCAGACAAUAAUUUUGACUAUUGACUAGCAAGUAAUUCUGUAGGUAUGUACUAUUGACCUUUUGACCUGAGACAAUAGUUUUGACUAUUGACUAGUAGUAAUUCAGUAGGUAUGUACUUUUGACCUCAGACAAUAAUUUUGACUAUUGACUAGCAAGUAAUUCAGUAGGUAUGUACUAAUGACCUUUGGUCCGCAGACAAUAGUUUUGACUAUUGACUAGCAAGUAAUUCAGUAGAUAUGUACUUUUGACCUCAGACAAUAGUUUUUUGACUAUUGACUAUCAAGUAAUUCAGUAGGUAUGUACUAUUGACCUUUGGACCUCAGACAAUAGUUUUGAUUAUUGACUAGCAAGUAAUUCAAUAGGUAUGUACUAUUGACUUUUCACCUCAGACAAUAGUAUUGACUAGCAAGUAAUUCAGUGGGUAUGUACUAUUGACCUUUGGACCUCAGACAAUAGUUUUGACUAUUGACUAGCAAGUAAUUCAGUAGGUAUGUACUAUUGACCUUUGGAUCUCAGACAUUAGUUUUGACUAUUGACUAGCAAGUAAUUUAGUAGGUAUUUACUGUUGACCUUUGGACCUCAGACAAUAGUUUUGACUAUUGACUAGCAAGUAAUUCUGUAGGUAUGUACUAUUGACCUUUUGACCUCAGACAAUAGUUUUGACUAUUGACUAGCAAGUAAUUCAGUAGGUAUGUACUAUUGACCUUUGGUCCUCAGACAAUAGUUUUGACUAUUGACUAGCAAGUAACUCAGUAAGUAUGUACUAUUGACCUUUGGACCUCAGACAAUAAUUUUGACUAUUGACUAGCAAGUAAUUCUGUAGGUAUGUACUAUUGACCUUUUGACCUGAGACAAUAGUUUUGACUAUUGACUAGCAAGUAAUUCAGUAGGUAUGUACUUUUGACCUCAGACAAUAAUUUUGACUAUUGACUAGCAAGUAAUUCAGUAGGUAUGUACUAAUGACCUUUGGUCCGAAGACAAUAGUUUUGACUAUUGACUAGCAAGUAAUUCAGUAGAUAUGUACUUUUGACCUCAGACAAUAGUUUUGACUAUUGACUAGCAAGUGAUUCAGUAGGUAUGUACUUUUGACCUUUGGUCCUCUGGCAAUACUGUACAACUAUCAACCCUAAGUGGUCAAAGAUUUAAAUCAUACAGCCAUAUGAAUUACUGUAGAGCCACAUCAGAAAACUAUUCACUGAGACAAAGGCAAGGGAUACUGAUGAUAAUUAGUAGUCAUUUUCCAAGGUCACCACUUUAAAGGUCAAAAGUUGUUUUAUUAUAUUGAACAACAGGAGAAAGAAUUACAAAGGAAGAACAUUUUAUGUUUUUAGUGCCACCUUGAUAUUUUGAAUGUUGAAGUUACGUCAUUUCCAUUAUUGUUUUGGUUUCCAGGCAGUAUGUUGGUAAAAUUAAUGGUACUAAAAUUAUUAUUGUUACGGAUAAACCUCCACAACGGAGUGCUGUGUAUGCACAUAACAUAACCCUGAGAAUACAGCACCUACACCUAAGCUAACCAUGCCUGUAACCUACACAAUACGAUGCAUAGUGCGACAUCUAAGGAAUUCGAAAUUUCUCGUGGUGACAUAGAUACAGCGUUCAAACACAGAACAGUGAAAGUAUUGUUGGGCACGUCAGGGAAAAUACUUCGGGUGUUUAUAUAACAGAAAUGACAAUACGUUUAAGUUGAAGUUACUGCUAUAUCUAUUUUUAGCUCACAAAGGUGAGCUUUUGUGAUCGCCCUGUGUCCGUUGUCCGUUGUCAACAGUUUGACUGUUAACACUCUAGAGGUCACAUUUUUGGCCCAAUCUUAAUGAAACUUGGUCAGAAUUUUACCCUCAAUAAAAUCUUACAUGAGUUUGAUAUUGGGUCAUCUGAGGUCAAAAACUAGGUCACCAGGUCAAAUCAAAGGAAAAGCUUGUUAACACUCUAGAGGCCAUAUUUAUGACUGAUUCUUUAUGAAACUUAGUCAGAAUGUUAACCUUGAUGAUUUACAGGACAAGUUUAAAUCUGGGUCAUGUCGGGUCAAAAACUAGGUCACCGGGUCAAAUCGAAGGAAAAGCUAGUUAACAAUUCGGAGGCCACAUUUAUGACCAUAUCUUGAUAAAACUUGGUCGGAAUUUUAAUCUUGAUGAUCCUUAGGUCAAUAGGUAGGUGAGCGAUACAGGGCCUUCAUGACUCUCUUGUUAUAAUAUAGGUCAGGUUUAAAUCUGGGUUAGGUGGGGUCAAAAACUAGAUCAUUAGGUCAAAUCAAAUGAAAAGCUUGUUAACAAUCUGGAGGCCACAUUUAUGACCAUAUGUUAAUGAAACUAUCUUGAUCUUUAGGUCAAUAGGUCAGGUGAACGAUACAGGGCCUUCAUGGCCCUCUUGUUAUAACAAAAGGAUUCAACGGAAUUGACGGACUAUAUAGGUGAACUACAGUUAACAUUCAAAGAUUGCUAUAUAUGGUUGUACGUAUUUGGUAAUACUGAAAAUCCGUUAGAAGUUAUAAUAAAAUG